Scylla paramamosain (green mud crab) is the source of this 405-nucleotide long non-coding RNA. RefSeq lists it as uncharacterized. Lineage: Eukaryota; Metazoa; Arthropoda; Malacostraca; Decapoda; Portunidae. The transcript has 3 exons. The record is from RefSeq and is a predicted model, not a curated record.
CCAAGGAGGUGCUCAAUAAGGCCAAGGAGCUGCAACACUCAGACAAGCACAUGAGGGAGGCAGCCAACAAGAAUGCCUACCACAGCAUGGAGAAGGCACAGGCUCGGCAGGUGAUCAGCGACGCCACAGCCUCCCAGAGAUAUGACACACCACAGGAGAUGCUGGGGAUGAACACUGCUGCUUGGGGAGCUGAGGAACAGAGGUUGCUGGAGCAAGCCCUCAAGACCUAUCCAGUCUCUACUCCCUGACCGCUGGGACCGCAUUGCCAAGUGUGUCCCCAACCGAACCAAGAAAGACUGCAUGAGGCGCUAUAAGGAGCUUGUUGAGAUGGUGAAGGCAAAGAAGGCGGCUCAGGCUGCUGCAGUGGGAAAAAAGUGAGGAGCCAAACCUUGCUGUCUUCUUUCU